This 73-nucleotide transfer RNA is filed under the name Stegodyphus mimosarum. It matches the Rfam family "tRNA". From Rfam's summary of the family: Transfer RNA (tRNA) molecules are approximately 80 nucleotides in length. The record is from Rfam by way of RNAcentral. Lineage: Eukaryota; Metazoa; Arthropoda; Arachnida; Araneae; Eresidae.
GCCUUAGUGGUGUAGUGGUCAGCACGCUCGGCGCGUAUUCGAGAGGUCCGUGGUUCGAGUCCCGGCGGAGGCG